This 218-nucleotide ribosomal RNA is filed under the name uncultured bacterium. Its description in RNAcentral is "partial 16S ribosomal RNA". It matches the Rfam family "Bacterial small subunit ribosomal RNA", at positions 328 to 539 of the family's 1533-position model. The record is from RNAcentral.
ACGCUCGACACCUACGGGAGUCAGCAGUGAGGAAUAUUGGUCAAUGGGCGCUAGCCUGAACCAGCCAAGUAGCGUGAAGGAUGAAGGCUCUAUGGGUCGUAAACUUCUUUUAUAUAAGAAUAAAGUGCAGUAUGUAUACUGUUUUGUAUGUAUUAUAUGAAUAAGGAUCGGCUAACUCCGUGCCAGCAGCCGCGGUAAUCUGAGCGGGCUGGCAAGGC